AGCUUUCUAAAUCCGUGCUGAGAUUUCGUCAGACACCUACCCAUUAAAGCUGAUCAGACUUCCAAGAUAAGUGGAGUU
This 78-nucleotide microRNA precursor is filed under the name Schistosoma haematobium. RNAcentral describes it as "mir-3492 microRNA precursor family". It matches the Rfam family "mir-3492 microRNA precursor family". Lineage: Eukaryota; Metazoa; Platyhelminthes; Trematoda; Strigeidida; Schistosomatidae. The record is from Rfam by way of RNAcentral.